GAAGAAGCAGCGAGAAGAGCCACGAAGGCAGUACAGAAGGCCCUCUCCUUCUAUAAAAGGGGAGCCAUGCCUCACAAGAAGGACACCAAGCAAUCUACAAGCACAAGCAUUCCACAAAGCAUAGAGCAGAGAGUUAGCCAAACUCCUUGCUCAGUAGUAGUAGUAGUAGUAGUAGUAGUAGUAGUAGUAGUAGUAGUAGUAGUAGUAGUAGUCCAACCACCACCUUGUAAUAAAUCCAUUAGUGUGAAGGCGAUUGUAAUAAUAAGGUACUAAGGUAAUUCCCCGUUCUUGUGUAAUCCCGUCGGGGGUUCCCGAAAGGGAAACCCGUAUGUAAAUUAUAUUGUGGAAAUGAAGUAGUUCUGUGUUU
Molecule: non-coding RNA, 367 nt
Organism: Lolium perenne
Lineage: Eukaryota; Viridiplantae; Streptophyta; Magnoliopsida; Poales; Poaceae
Source: RefSeq, a predicted model, not a curated record